This 2793-nucleotide long non-coding RNA is filed under the name Sus scrofa (pig). RNAcentral's name for it is "lncRNA (ENSSSCG00065024494.1)". Lineage: Eukaryota; Metazoa; Chordata; Mammalia; Artiodactyla; Suidae. The record is from RNAcentral.
UUUCUCACGGAUUUCUUUUACUUAUUUUGACUUGGCCCAGCGGCAGCUCCAUUUGAAAGGUUUUGAGUCUAUUUUUCUGAACAAGCUCCAUGGGGCAGGAAUAGCGUUUUCUUGCUGUAUCUCCAGUGCUGAGAGAGAGGCCUAUACCAGGUGCAUGAUAUAUGCCUAUGGAUACUGAAUGAAAUAAGUGGGUGUUGCUGUCAAACGCGCUGAACACGGCUCUGCCCAUCCUCCCCCAGCGUGGACUUAGCAAAUGCUGGGACGUUUCUGAGAGCUUUUGAUUUUAAUGACUUCAGGAACUAGGAAGAGAGCAGGAUUUGUCUCUGAAAGGAAUGAAUUACAACUGUCUGUACGGACAGUUUUCCUAAAUCAGGCAUGGAGCUACUGUCUAUCUCUUUACCCGGAGAUCCUCUUAGUGACUGAGCCCAAGGGCGGAGUAUUGACCGUGAACUUCCUAAGGUCCCGCGAGGACUAGAACUCCAGAGUCAAGGCUUUGCGUGAACGAGGGGCUUAAACCCUGGUGGCGCCUCCACCCCUCCUAGAGAUGUUGUCAAGCGGCCUGUGAGAAGAUGAGGAGGGAUGGAGAAGAUGCUUGUCUGUAGACCGUGUUUUGAGCUCUAUGGCAGCUCCUCUGCAAACCUUAGGAAUGAUGAGACGGGGCAGCAGCAUGAAGGCAGAGGCUUUACCCCAUCAGGGCGCUUUUUAGGUGUUGUGAAAACCCAUGAGAGAACUGCUAAACACAGGAUAGUUAAGCCAUGUUUCUGCUGUUGGUCCUGGGAGCACUGCCACCUCUGCUUGCACCUAGGUGGGCACCUGCCAGCCGAUGGGCCCCUUACUUCGCUGUUAACUCGAGAGCAUUCCUGUUAUACACAGGGAUUCUGAACAGGAAGAAGGGCAUUUCUCAGAAGGAACAGGAGGAAACCUUGAACUCCAGAUAAGAAUAAUCAGUCCUUCCAACGUAACUGCGCAUGCCUAGCUGUCAGCCCCACCAGCGUGGACACGUGACUGAAGAACGCAUCAGCCCAGCUGCCUGUAAGGGAAGGGACUUCUGCAUUCUUUUUUAAGCACAGGACUGCCCUCUUGAAUUUUAGUUACGCAUUAUUUAUAACAUGAAAACAAAUGGCAUUUUGUUCCCCCGAGAAGUGACUCAAGCUAAAAAUCAAACUUUUAAAAAUGUUUUAAAAUGUUCAUAAAUUACACAUAAUAGGUUUCAUCGUGAGUUGCUUACUCACUUGGGAGGUUUGCUUCCUGGAAUUUUUUGUUUUUUUCCGUUUUAGGGCCACACCCAUAGCUUAUGGAAGUUCCCAGGCUAGGGGUCAAAUCUUGAGUCAGCGCUGCCGCUGCCGGCCUACACCACAGCCACAGCAACACUAGAUCUGAGCCGUGUCUGCAACGUACACCACAGCUCACGGCAGUGCCGGAUCCUCAACCCACUGAGCAAGGCCGGGCAUCACACCCAAGUCCUCAGGGGUACUAGUUGAGCUCUUAACCUGCUGAGCCACCACGGGAACGCCUCUCGACCUUGAAAAUUGAGUAGGACCGUGACCUUUCCCACGGCCACUUCCCUGGCCGCCCUCUGUCCGAGAGAGGAUGCUCCUGCCACGGACACGACACUUUGAGAGGAGGGAGGAAAACAGCAGGCAGGUUUUCAGGGCUGAGAUGCAUGAAGAAAUGGUAUGUGAUCUGAAGUUGCUUAGAUUAGACAAGAUGACCGUUUCUGAAGAAAUAACUUUUUAUGAAAUGGUUAUCGAAUCUUAAUUACGCUUGAGGAUUACUCAUGAGCGUGUGCUCCUAAACUAUGUGGGUGAAACAAAUCAAUAGUUAGACUUGGGAAUUUGACCGUCCCGCUGAUGAGCCCAGGAUAGUCCACGGGGACAGGGAAUGAAGUCGUCGGGGGCGGGGAGGGGCAUUGGGUCUACGAGGGGGGAAGGAUCAGGUGUCCCAGAGCCUGUUAACUGCAGACUGGUUCAGAAAUAGGAAAUUAGAAGUCCUAACUACUUUAAUUCAGCCUCAGUUUUUUUAAAGCCUACCAUUUUUAAAAAUCAACUCAUAAAUAAUAGUGUUACUAAAUGAGGAACUUUAAGGGGAAAAGCCUCUGACACAGUAAAGCAUCAGACUACUUGCAUUUUCUCUUUGUAACCAAGAAGGGCAAAGUGCAUUUUCAUGCCAAGCAGGUUACAGAGGACCUCAGCGAGGACAGACAAUGAUUUAACCUAACUUUAAGUAUCUCCUAAUUAUUUAUGUGUUCCUGACUAGAUUGUUUGCAAGAAGUUCUGUGAUAUUCUGCUUUUUAUUUUAUUUAUUUAUUUAUUUGUUGUCUUUUUUAGGGCCACACCUGCGGCAUAUGGAGACUCCCAGGCUAGGGGUCUAAUCAGAGCUUCGGCUGCCAGCCCACGCCAAAGCCACAGCAACUCGGGACCCAAGCCGCGUCUGUGACCUACACCACAGCUCACAGUGACACCGGAUCCUUAACCCACUGAGCGAGGCCAGGGAUCAAACCCGCAGCCUCAUGGUUCCUAGGCAGAUUCCUUAACCACUGAGCCAUGACAGAAACUCCUGUGAUAUUAUGCUUUUUAAAAAGCUUUUAUUGGCAUCCUUUCUGACGUAUCAAAACCUGAGCUUCUGUAACGCUUCUUUAGGAGACUGAAUGUGCUGAGAAGGUUUGCUCUAGAAAACCAUUCAUUUGAAGUGAAAAACCGUUUCUCAUGGGUAUAGAGUUGGCUGCCCAAGCGUAUUGAUCGCAUUAACUCUGACCUCACUGAUUUUGCUAUAAUUAAAUCAACUGUUAGAAAA